This 459-nucleotide ribosomal RNA is filed under the name uncultured bacterium. Its description in RNAcentral is "partial 16S ribosomal RNA". It matches the Rfam family "Bacterial small subunit ribosomal RNA", at positions 338 to 795 of the family's 1533-position model. The record is from RNAcentral.
CCUACGGGAGGCAGCAGUGAGGAAUAUUGGUCAAUGGCCGGAAGGCUGAACCAGCCAAGCCGCGUGAGGGAGGAAGGCGCAGAGCGUCGCAGACCUCUUUUGCCGGGGGACAAAAGGCCGGACUCGUCCGCGCCUGAGGGUACCCGGAGAAAAAGCAUCGGCUAACUCCGUGCCAGCAGCCGCGGUAAUACGGAGGAUGCGAGCGUUAUCCGGAUUCAUUGGGUUUAAAGGGUGCGCAGGCGGGCCUUUAAGCCGGCGGGGAAAGCGCGGGGCUCAACCCCGCCGCGCCGUCGAAACUGGGGGCCUUGAGUGCGACGGAAGCAUGCGGAAUGCGCGGUGUAGCGGUGAAAUGCAUAGAUAUCGCGCAGAACCCCGAUUGCGAAGGCAGCAUGCCGUGCCGCCACUGACGCUGAGGCACGAAAGCGCGGGGAUCGAACAGGAUUAGAUACCCGGGUAGUC